AUGAGCAACACGCAUACCAAGCCUAUUCCCGCCUACAGUAUAUAUUCCAUCUUGCCUCUAAUGGCACUAAUACUUGUGGCCAACUGCAGGGUGUUGACAGUUCACAUGACUCAGGGGAGGCCCUGCAAGCCUCGAAAGCAUUGGCACGGUCCAGCGGGGCCGUCGUCGCGGUAUCUGGAGCAGUUGAUUUCAUCACGGAUGGCGAGCAGGUUGUCAGCGCGAGCAACGGCGUGGCCCUGA
This 240-nucleotide ribosomal RNA is filed under the name Triticum aestivum (bread wheat). Its description in RNAcentral is "partial small subunit ribosomal RNA". Lineage: Eukaryota; Viridiplantae; Streptophyta; Magnoliopsida; Poales; Poaceae. The record is from RNAcentral.